UGCAGCAACUGUCACAGUGACUGUACACAGACUUAGAUCUACCAGCAGAAUUUGCUUGUAAAUAUACUGUGCAUGCGUGUUACUGAGACUUAUAAUAUUAUUAACCUGGAUAACGUGAGCGAGCUUUAUACAGUGAAAUCGCGACAGAGGAUUUGCGCCAUUCCAGGUCAAGGAACGCACCGACUCGGAUCAAGAAAAACUUCGAACUAAAGACAGUAUCGGUUGCAAACUGAAAAAUCAAGCCUAUAGCUUGAACUGCAAAUAGAGCUCACAAGGCCAGCUAGAGCUCACAAGGCCAGCUAGAUGUAGUAGGGAGAAAAAAAGAAAGACGGAUUGGAGAAGUCCAGCAUCGUUUUAAGACGUUAAAGUAUAAUUCGGCCAACUGCACAUUUCUACGUGUGAAGAAUUAAAAAGUAACUAAACGGAUGACGGGCUCUUCAAGACAAAAAUAGUCGCAAAAAAAAAAAAAAAAAAAA
This is a long non-coding RNA of Lingula anatina, 476 nucleotides long. Lineage: Eukaryota; Metazoa; Brachiopoda; Lingulata; Lingulida; Lingulidae. The record is from RefSeq and is a predicted model, not a curated record.